RNAcentral lists this long non-coding RNA (975 nucleotides) under Marmota monax (woodchuck). Lineage: Eukaryota; Metazoa; Chordata; Mammalia; Rodentia; Sciuridae. The record is from RNAcentral.
GUUGUCAGUCUGAUUAAAUUACUCAUUCCCUUAUUCCCUUACUUCCUAUUAAUGAGUGUUUUUUUCUAGGUAGUUUCUAAGGUUUCAUCCAUGCCUUAAAUGUUUUAUUUUAUUAUUAUUAUAUACUUUGAUUUUUUUUAUCCACUGCUGGAUUUAGGGUAGUCUUUAUAUGUCAGGACCCAGGUCAUUAAUUCUGGAAAAAUUCAGUCAUUAUCUCCUCAGUGAUUGACCCAUCCCCAUCUUUCUCUUCUCUAUCUGAAGUGUUUAUGUUCAGGAGGGUCUUCUCAACUUAGCUUGCAUGUUUCUUAAUUGGACUGUUCAUAACUAUGCUCUUAUACCUCUGUAUCUGACAGUGUUUGUUUCCAAGCAGUUUCAUGAUCACCCAUUCUUUUAAGAGCUAUCAUUUUCUUGCAUUAUUCCUGCCUUUAUCUCUGGAGAUAUUAAACCCAUUUUAAAAAAGGUUUUUAUAUUAUAUGUUGAUCUUAAUAUAUGAAAUUUUUGUUUUAUUGCACUGUGGCUGUGGUAAUUUUACCGUAGUUUAUUAUAAUUUAGAUUUGUAAGUUCAUCCUCAGGGCAAUGAUUAUUCUGGUGGGAAUUCUGCUUGCCCUGAGUUGUAGAGACCUACAUUGGGAGGAGGAAGGUGUUCCAGGGCCAUUUCUCCUAUGAUAUGACAUAAAUGUUAAAAUAUUUUCUAUGCUUGCAGUUCCAAUUUGUGAGUGGUGGCAUGGAGCAAUCAAGGCCCAACCCUAUGGAGUUCUUGCAUCCCCAGCUGAUCCUUUCCAUCCAUUGCUGAAACAGUUGGCCUGGUUCAUGUUCAAGUCCAGUGGUCAUAGCUUGUUAUUUCCAUUUAAGACUCAGGCUUGGACAAAUAGCUCAUUCCAGCUCUCUAACAAAUUAAAAAAAAAAAAACAAACAAACAAACACAUAUCCUCAACUCCUUCCAAGCUAGGUUUAUUAAAACCAUAUACCUUAAGG